RNAcentral lists this non-coding RNA (48 nucleotides) under Schistosoma haematobium. The record is from RNAcentral. Lineage: Eukaryota; Metazoa; Platyhelminthes; Trematoda; Strigeidida; Schistosomatidae.
AUCUGGCUGACAAGUCCCAAAUAGGACGAAACGCGCGUCAAACUAGAU